UUUUUGGCUUCGCUGUUCAUUAGGCGCAUGAAUCCACAGAAGAAAAACUUUGCUGGCAAGAACUCAGCCAGUGGUUCGAGUUCUCUGCAAACAAAUCUGUGGUCUCUUUGUUUGCUAUAGACCUCUUGUUUCUAGUGAAAGAAAAGUUCUUUUUUUAUUGCAGAAAGAAGUCAGAAACAGGACAGAGAGAUUGAGAAAGUAAAGUGAUGAUUUAUUUAAGCAAGAAAACACUCCCAGAGGGAGAGCAAGCAGACAGUAGAAGCUAAAGGUACACUCCACAGAACAUCAUGCUGGUUCAGCUGGUGAAUGACAUCAAUCAAACUAGUGAGCGUGAAGUGGGAAAAGCUCUGGAUGCUCUGAGUUAACAAAAAGGAAGCAAAGAUUAUAAACUCUGUGACAAUGGGAUCCGACUGGUCUUCUAGCACCGAAGACAGUGACUGGUAUAAAAGCUCUCGAGAACCAUCUAAUGCAAGAGAAUACGUGGAAGAAUGCACUACGUGGCUUAACUAAGGUAAAAAAAUGAAUAAAUGACAGGGCUAGGGCUUGACCAUAUAUCUUAGAGUUUCAAGAAUAAGGUCUUAUUUCUUGGUUUUUGUGCUGUUUUGUUUUUGUUUUUUGCCUAUUCGUUCGUAGUUGUCCCACCUCUUCUGUUUUCUCCUGUCUGCUCUGCCCUCAAUAGAUGCUCAUGAAUUCUUUUAAAGAUAUGUAUGCAGUAUAUUUCCCCUUUUAGUUUUAAACACUCUUAGCCAUUAAAAAUAGCUGGAAAACAAA
This is a long non-coding RNA of Sus scrofa (pig), 771 nucleotides long. RefSeq lists it as uncharacterized. The record is from RefSeq and is a predicted model, not a curated record. Lineage: Eukaryota; Metazoa; Chordata; Mammalia; Artiodactyla; Suidae.